AGCGGCGGACGGGUGAGUAACGCGUGGGUAACCUGCCCUAUACACACGGAUAACAUACCGAAAGGUAUGCUAAUAUGAGAUAAUAUAAGAGAUUCACAUGGAUUUCUUAUCAAAGCUGAGGCGGUAUAGGAUGGACCCGCGUCUGAUUAGCUAGUUGGUAAGGUAACGGCUUACCAAGGCGACGAUCAGUAGCCGACCUGAGAAGGUGAUCGGCCACAUUGGAACUGAGACACGGUCCAAACUCCUACGGGAGGCAGCAGUGGGGAAUAUUGCACAAUGGGCGAAAGCCUGAUGCAGCAACGCCGCGUGAGUGAUGUAGGCCUUCGGGUCGUAAAACUCUGUCCUCAAGGAAGAUAAUGACGGUACUUGAGGAGGAAGCCCCGGCUAACUACGUGCCAGCAGCCGCGGUAAUACGUAGGGGGCUAGCGUUAUCCGGAUUUACUGGGCGUAAAGGGUGCGUAGGUGGUCUCUUAAGUCAGGAGUGAAAGGCUACGGCUUAACCGUAGUAGGCUCUUGAAACUGGGAGACUUGAGUGCAGGAGAGGAAAGUGGAAUUCCUAGUGUAGCGGUGAAAUGCGUAGAUAUUAGGAGGAACACCAGUAGCGAAGGCGGCUUUCUGGACUGUAACUGACACUGAGGCACGAAAGCGUGGGGAGCAAACAGGAUUAGAUACCCUGGUAGUCCACGCCGUAAACGAUGAGUACUAGGUGU
This 710-nucleotide ribosomal RNA is filed under the name uncultured bacterium. RNAcentral describes it as "bacterial SSU rRNA". It matches the Rfam family "Bacterial small subunit ribosomal RNA", at positions 94 to 823 of the family's 1533-position model. The record is from RNAcentral.